CAUCUCAAGUCGAACGUUAGAGGU
Molecule: non-coding RNA, 24 nt
Filed under: Arabidopsis thaliana (thale cress)
Lineage: Eukaryota; Viridiplantae; Streptophyta; Magnoliopsida; Brassicales; Brassicaceae
Source: RNAcentral